Dorea sp. 5-2 is the source of this 71-nucleotide non-coding RNA. NCBI's taxonomy places the organism in Bacteria, Bacillati, Bacillota, Clostridia, Lachnospirales, Lachnospiraceae. The record is from Rfam.
AGGGGAUUGGUCAAGUGGUAUGAUAGGGGUCUCCAAAACCUUUGGCGGGGGUUCGAUUCCCUCAUCCCCUG